AAUUUUUAGAAAUAGUAAGAUGUCAAGAUAGAAUUUUUAAAGAAGUUUUUUACUAAAUAUUUUUUUUGAUUAUUUACAACGUCAUUUCCAGUUACCAUGUAUUUAAAAUAGGUCCAUAUACGAUCCACAACGGGAUGGAACAACACCUUCAAAUUAAGGACCAGCUAACCCGUAAUCUUAAUUUGUGUUAUCGCUUAUAAUUCUUAUGCUUAUUACAACUUUCAAAACUUAAGAUGCUUUUAGGCCAAAGUCAAAUGUACUUACCAAAAUGUAAUUUAACCAAAAUUUAAUUUUACCAAAAUGUAAUUUUACCAAAACUUGUGAAAUGUUAAUUUAUGUAAACGUUUAUUCGAUUUAAUACUGUUUGUAUAACCUUGCCUAACUAAAGAAUUUCAUAAUGUUUUAUUUAGAAAAUAAAUUAAAGUUAAUUCUAAAA
Eurytemora carolleeae is the source of this 436-nucleotide long non-coding RNA. RefSeq lists it as uncharacterized. NCBI's taxonomy places the organism in Eukaryota, Metazoa, Arthropoda, Copepoda, Calanoida, Temoridae. The record is from RefSeq and is a predicted model, not a curated record. The transcript is spliced from 2 exons.